GGUAAGAAUAUUGUACUGGUCCUUGCUGACGGCUGACAAAUACUGAAUUUGUCGUUGCUCUGGUCCCGUGCCUUUGUGGUCAAGCAUUUGAAUAGACUUGGUACUCUCUUUUCAACAAAGCUCUCACUGCACCUAGUUACCUAGCAGAGGAGACAUGGUAAAAGGAAUAAACUAACUGAUAGUAUGCCAAAAAAUUUAGAUCAUGUGAAUGUACAAACACAUAAAACUUCCACUUCUUUUGGGAAAAGCUUGUACUGUACCUGCAAAAGUGCUGUACUAGAAGUAUGGGAAUAUUUACCCCAGAUUCUCCACCCUCUUGUGAUUGACGAAAUGACUGAUGUGUG
Molecule: long non-coding RNA, 344 nt
Filed under: Triticum aestivum (bread wheat)
Lineage: Eukaryota; Viridiplantae; Streptophyta; Magnoliopsida; Poales; Poaceae
Description: long non-coding RNA (TAES_LNC018167)
Source: RNAcentral